RNAcentral lists this unclassified non-coding RNA (391 nucleotides) under soil metagenome. Its description in RNAcentral is "partial contains 5.8S ribosomal RNA, internal transcribed spacer 2, and large subunit ribosomal RNA". The stretch from base 1 to 122 matches the Rfam family "5.8S ribosomal RNA", at positions 35 to 154 of the family's 154-position model. The record is from RNAcentral.
GAUGAAGAACGUAGCGAAAUGCGAUACUUGGUGUGAAUUGCAGAAUCCCGUGAACCAUCGAGUCUUUGAACGCAAGUUGCGCCCGAAGCCACUAGGCCGAGGGCACGCCUGCCUGGGCGUCACACGCCGUUGCCCCCCCAUCUACUCCUUCGGGAUUGCGGGGGGGCGGAUGAUGGCCUCCCGUGCGCCUAGCCGCGCGGUUGGCAUAAAUACCAAGUCCUCGGCGACGCACGCCACGACAAUCGGUGGUUGCGAAACCUCGGUUGCCCGUCGUGUGCGUUCGUCGCGCAUCGAGGGCUCGAAAAAAUGCUCGGCUCCGGCUGGGCUUUCAACGCGACCCCCGGUCAGGCGGGGUUACCCGCUGAAUUUAAGCAUAUCAAUAAGCGGAGGA